AUACGUAGGGGGCGAGCGUUGUCCGGAAUGAUUGGGCGUAAAGGGCGCGUAGGCGGCCCGGUAAGUCUGGAGUGAAAGUCCUGCUUUUAAGGUGGGAAUUGCUUUGGAUACUGUCGGGCUUGAGUGCAGGAGAGGUGAGUGGAAUUCCCAGUGUAGCGGUGAAAUGCGUAGAGAUUGGGAGGAACACCAGUGGCGAAGGCGACUUACUGGACUGUAACUGACGCUGAGGCGCGAAAGUGUGGGGAGCAAACAGGAUUAGAUACCCUGGUAGUCCACACUGUAAACGAUGAAUGCUAGGUGUAGGGGGUAUCGACCCCUUCUGUGCCGCAGUUAACACAAUAAGCAUUCCGCCUGGGGAGUACGGCCGCAAGGUUGAAACUCAAAUGAAUUGACGGGG
RNAcentral lists this ribosomal RNA (397 nucleotides) under uncultured bacterium. RNAcentral's name for it is "partial 16S ribosomal RNA". It matches the Rfam family "Bacterial small subunit ribosomal RNA", at positions 523 to 918 of the family's 1533-position model. The record is from RNAcentral.